ACUAGGAAACUGAAUUUGAUAAACGAAUUAAUUUGCGUACUACUAAGCUAUUUUUUCAACCCACAAUGGCGGAAGGAGGAGAAGAUAUCGAUUUGGUCGAGGAUAUAAUUAUAACGCCAUUCUCAAGACGAACUUUAAGACCGACGCCGACGCUACAAAGCCCGUCACAGGCGGGGAAGGGGUUCGUUCGCCACUUUCAAAGUUCCAACUACGAGCGCUACCAACGGCUCACAGGCUCCGAGAAGCUCUGCACAGUGUGUGGGCGAGUGAACAGCGGAAUAUGCUACAUGUUUCAGACAUUGACCGGGUGCAAGAGGCUUUUAAAAGAGUUUGAGCGGUACUCCAACCACAAAAGACCCGACUGCAAAAGAAUAGACCUGCAACCCAUUUGUAAACAAACCCACCCGGUGAAUCGAGCCCGUCCGAGCUAGAAGAGAAUUUGGGACAUUUCACACAACAACUCUGCCGGUGUUCUAAUGACAGCGACCAGAACUCGGUUAGGAGCAGCGGACCAAACACACGUCUGUGUCGCCGUCUCCAUUAGCGGCUCGUUGCAGAGUGAGAUGGCAGCUGGGAGGAUCUGGAUCCGUCUCUAACUGAAAGUGCUCGACCGGGAGGACCCUGUUCUCCACCACCAUACACCUAAUGGUUCCAGGAUGGUUCCCAGUUAUGAGGUGCCCUUGUCAUUUCAUAAUUUCCUUUUUGAUAUGUGAUAUCUCGAAUGUUUCAUUGAUCUCUUCAGGCCAACAGUACCUGACAAUACUCUGAGCCGGACCUGUUUGUUGCAAAGUAAAAACACAAAUGUACCUUUGUAGUUAUUUUCAAUAGGGUUCUUUAUUUUGUUAUCGUCGGUGCCUCUUCAGUGUUGGUAAGUUCUCUAUGAUCAUUUUGAAAUAAGCACCCGCAGUGUUAUACAAAUGAUAAUAAUUAAUUAAAUUCCCCCCUUAUGUUACAGGCAUGUUUUGUUCCCUUGCACCUACAUCUGUCUAUAAUGAUGCAUAAAUUACUUUAUGUUCUGGUACGCGAUCAGUAAAGAUAACAAUUGUUUAUGAGUAUAUUUGAAUAAAAUUGGGAACAAUCAUACUGCA
This is a long non-coding RNA of Pseudoliparis swirei, 1088 nucleotides long. RefSeq lists it as uncharacterized. Lineage: Eukaryota; Metazoa; Chordata; Actinopteri; Perciformes; Liparidae. The transcript has 2 exons. The record is from RefSeq and is a predicted model, not a curated record.